RNAcentral lists this ribosomal RNA (302 nucleotides) under Escherichia coli. RNAcentral describes it as "bacterial SSU rRNA". It matches the Rfam family "Bacterial small subunit ribosomal RNA", at positions 1183 to 1481 of the family's 1533-position model. The record is from RNAcentral. Lineage: Bacteria; Pseudomonadati; Pseudomonadota; Gammaproteobacteria; Enterobacterales; Enterobacteriaceae.
CGUCAAGUCAUCAUGCCCCUUAUGUCUUGGGCUACACACGUACUACAAUGGUCGGAAACAGAGGGAAGCGAAGCCGCGAGGCAGAGCAAACCCCAGAAACCCGAUCUCAGUUCGGAUCGCAGGCUGCAACCCGCCUGCGUGAAGUCGGAAUCGCUAGUAAUCGCAGGUCAGCAUACUGCGGUGAAUACGUUCCCGGGCCUUGUACACACCGCCCGUCACACCACGAAAGUUGGUAACACCCGAAGCCGGUGAGGUAACCAGAAAUGGAGCCAGCCGUCUAAGGUGGGGCCGAUGAUUGGGGU